RNAcentral lists this unclassified non-coding RNA (213 nucleotides) under fungal sp. RNAcentral describes it as "partial internal transcribed spacer region". The stretch from base 1 to 46 matches the Rfam family "Eukaryotic small subunit ribosomal RNA", at positions 1786 to 1831 of the family's 1831-position model. Lineage: Eukaryota; Fungi. The record is from RNAcentral.
AAGUCGUAACAAGGUCUCCGUAGGUGAACCUGCGGAGGGAUCAUUACUGAGUUACACUCAAACCCUGUUUAAGAAUCUGUUGCUUCGGAGGCGCCCCUCGGGAGGGGAUGUGCUUCGGCCGCCUCCAAAAGCACCUUUACUCUUAACUAUGAUUUAUUUUUAUUCAAUUCCAAAAAAAAAAUCAAAACCUCAACAACGGAUCUCUUGGUUACA